Molecule: non-coding RNA, 111 nt
Filed under: Acetobacterium wieringae
Lineage: Bacteria; Bacillati; Bacillota; Clostridia; Eubacteriales; Eubacteriaceae
Description: TPP sequence
Rfam family: TPP riboswitch aptamer (THI element)
About the family: Vitamin B(1) in its active form thiamin pyrophosphate (TPP) is an essential coenzyme that is synthesised by coupling of pyrimidine and thiazole moieties in bacteria.
Source: RNAcentral
AUUAAAGAGUUGGGGAGCUUAUGCAUUUAGGCUGAGAGGAAGUAAAUCGCUGCUUCGACCCAUGUACCUGAUACGGAUAAUGCCGGCGUAGGGAAUUUAUGUCAAACUGCU